UAAGGAAUAUUGGUCAAUGGACGCAAGUCUGAACCAGCCAUGCCGCGUGGAGGAUGAAGGCCCUCUGGGUUGUAAACUUCUUUUAUGGGGGACGAAAUCACUUAUUCUUAAGUGUCUGACGGUACCCCAGGAAUAAGCACCGGCUAACUCCGUGCCAGCAGCCGCGGUAAUACGGAGGGUGCAAGCGUUAUCCGGAUUCACUGGGUUUAAAGGGUGCGUAGGAGGGCAGGAAAGUCAGUGGUGAAAUCCUAGGGCUUAACUCUAGAACUGCCGUUGAUACUACUUGUCUUGAAUAUCGUGGAGGUGAGCGGAAUAUGUCAUGUAGCGGUGAAAUGCUUAGAUAUGACAUAGAACACCAAUUGCGAAGGCAGCUCGCUACACGAAUAUUGACUCUGAGGCA
RNAcentral lists this ribosomal RNA (400 nucleotides) under uncultured bacterium. RNAcentral describes it as "bacterial SSU rRNA". It matches the Rfam family "Bacterial small subunit ribosomal RNA", at positions 355 to 753 of the family's 1533-position model. The record is from RNAcentral.